RNAcentral lists this ribosomal RNA (427 nucleotides) under uncultured bacterium. RNAcentral's name for it is "partial 16S ribosomal RNA". It matches the Rfam family "Bacterial small subunit ribosomal RNA", at positions 355 to 774 of the family's 1533-position model. The record is from RNAcentral.
UGGGGAAUAUUGGACAAUGGGCGAAAGCCUGAUCCAGCCAUGCCGCGUGUGUGAAGAAGGUCUUCGGAUUGUAAAGCACUUUAAGUUGGGAGGAAGGGCAUUAACCUAAUACGUUAGUGUUUUGACGUUACCGACAGAAUAAGCACCGGCUAACUCUGUGCCAGCAGCCGCGGUAAUACAGAGGGUGCAAGCGUUAAUAGGAAUUACUGGGCGUAAAGCGCGCGUAGGUGGUUUUUUAAGUUGGAUGUGAAAUCCCCGGGCUCAACCUGGGAACUGCAUUCAAAACUGACUGACUAGAGUAUGGUAGAGGGUGGUGGAAUUUCCUGUGUAGCGGUGAAAUGCGUAGAUAUAGGAAGGAACACCAGUGGCGAAGGCGACCACCUGGACUAAUACUGACACUGAGGUGCGAAAGCGUGGGGAGCAAACA